This 1032-nucleotide ribosomal RNA is filed under the name uncultured Bacteroidota bacterium. Its description in RNAcentral is "bacterial SSU rRNA". It matches the Rfam family "Bacterial small subunit ribosomal RNA", at positions 9 to 1049 of the family's 1533-position model. The record is from RNAcentral. Lineage: Bacteria; Pseudomonadati; Bacteroidota.
GAGUUUGAUCCUGGCUCAGGAUGAACGCUAGCGGCAGGCUUAAUACAUGCAAGUCGAACGGCAGUCGGGCAGCAAUGCUUGGCGAGAGUGGCGCACGGGUGCGUAACGCGUAUGCAACCUGCCUUUAACAGGGGGAUAGCCCGGAGAAAUUCGGAUUAAUACCCCGUAGUAAUUAUUAGUGGCAUCACUGAUAGUUUAAAGCUAAUGCGGUUAGAGAUGGGCAUGCGUUCCAUUAGCUAGUUGGUGCGGUAACGGCGUACCAAGGCUACGAUGGAUAGGGGACCUGAGAGGGCGAUCCCCCACACUGGUACUGAGACACGGACCAGACUCCUACGGGAGGCAGCAGUAAGGAAUAUUGGGCAAUGGCCGCAAGGCUGACCCAGCCAUGCCGCGUGCAGGAAGACGGCCUUAUGGGUUGUAAACUGCUUUUGUCAGGGAGUAAAUCCUUAUACGUGUAUAAGGUUGAAAGUACCUGAAGAAUAAGCAUCGGCUAACUCCGUGCCAGCAGCCGCGGUAAUACGGAGGAUGCGAGCGUUAUCCGGAUUCAUUGGGUUUAAAGGGUGCGCAGGCGGGCUAAUAAGUCAGGGGUGAAAUUCCACGGCUCAACUGUGGGGCUGCCUUUGAUACUGUUAGUCUUGAGUUUAGUUGAGGUGGGCGGAAUGUAGCAUGUAGCGGUGAAAUGCAUAGAUAUGCUACAGAACACCGAUAGCGAAGGCAGCUCACCAAGUUAUAACUGACGCUCAUGCACGAAAGCGUGGGGAUCAAACAGGAUUAGAUACCCUGGUAGUCCACGCUGUAAACGAUGAUCACUCGUUGUUGGCGAUACACAGUCAGCGGCUAAGCGAAAGUGAUAAGUGAUCCACCUGGGGAGUACGAUCGCAAGGUUGAAACUCAAAGGAAUUGACGGGGGCCCGCACAAGCGGUGGAGCAUGUGGUUUAAUUCGAUGAUACGCGAGGAACCUUACCUGGGCUGAACGCUAAUGUAUGGGAGAAAUCUCAAGUCCUUCGGGCGUUGAGCGAGUGCUGCAUGCU